This 253-nucleotide ribosomal RNA is filed under the name uncultured bacterium. RNAcentral's name for it is "partial 16S ribosomal RNA". It matches the Rfam family "Bacterial small subunit ribosomal RNA", at positions 524 to 776 of the family's 1533-position model. The record is from RNAcentral.
UACAGAGGGGGCAAGCGUUAUUCGGAAUUAUUGGGCGUAAAGGGCUCGUAGGCGGUUUGUCACGUCGGGAGUGAAAACUCAGGGCUCAACCCUGAGCGUGCUUCCGAUACGGGCAGACUAGAGGUAUGCAGGGGAGAACGGAAUUCCUGGUGUAGCGGUGGAAUGCGCAGAUAUCAGGAGGAACACCGGUGGCGAAGGCGGUUCUCUGGGCAUUACCUGACGCUGAGGAGCGAAAGCAUGGGGAGCGAACAGG